GAAUAUUAUAGAGGGGUUUGCCACCAGCUCAACUGCAAUGGUUAGCCGCUUCCGCUGCUCAGUAGACAAACCAUUCACACCAGGCAACCCAACUAGUGCUUGUCUCAAUGGAUUCAACUCCACAAGCUCCAUGACUUCUUCAACAAACAUCUUUCUGGUUUCAGAGUUGACGUCAGAGGGUAGACGAAGCCAAGCGGAGUAGACUAAGGAUUCGUAGACAGUAACAUGUGGAGAGUGGAUGUCAUUUUGCUCA
RNAcentral lists this unclassified non-coding RNA (253 nucleotides) under Hevea brasiliensis (rubber tree). The record is from RNAcentral. Lineage: Eukaryota; Viridiplantae; Streptophyta; Magnoliopsida; Malpighiales; Euphorbiaceae.